Molecule: transfer RNA, 85 nt
Organism: Felis catus (domestic cat)
Lineage: Eukaryota; Metazoa; Chordata; Mammalia; Carnivora; Felidae
Rfam family: tRNA
About the family: Transfer RNA (tRNA) molecules are approximately 80 nucleotides in length. Their secondary structure includes four short double-helical elements and three loops (D, anti-codon, and T loops).
Source: Rfam
GCCUGGGUGGCUCAGUCGGUUAAGCGUCCGACUUCGGCUCAGGUCAUGAUCUCACAGUCUGUGGGUUCAAGCCCCGCAUCAGGCU